Molecule: non-coding RNA, 638 nt
Organism: Aegilops tauschii subsp. strangulata
Lineage: Eukaryota; Viridiplantae; Streptophyta; Magnoliopsida; Poales; Poaceae
Source: RefSeq, a predicted model, not a curated record
UUGACAAAAUUUACCCACGUAGUCCAGGAGUCCAUAUUACUCCCUCCGAACGGAUGAUACUUGAGACCGAUGGUGAUAGCACAUAUGAUACUCCAGGCCCGAUGGAGGGGCCAAAUGGUGACGACUCUAUACAAGGAACCUGGAGCCGACGAUGUUCACAAGAAUUACCCAAGUAGUCCAGGUACUAAGGCUGUGCAUAUAUACUGAGAUUGCUUUUAUGCUUUUUAUUAUGUGAUAAAUCAAACUUAACAGACUUGGGCAGAACCGAUUCUAAUAGAUCAAGCGUGUGACUUGUAGGAGUCCAUAUUACUCACUCGGACAGGACGAUACUUGAAGAGGCCGAUUGUGAAAGGACAUAUGUUCAUCAACCUUCCCAUCUGAUUUCGGGUACGUAUUAUGUUGUAUAAAGGUUAAGACCAUGUGCCUACAACUUUGCCUUGUUUCUGCGAUGAUAUUAUAUAUACUGAGAUUGCUUUUAUGCUGUUUAUGUGAUAAAUCAAACCUAACAGACUUGGGCAGAACCGAUUCUAAUAGAUCAAGCGUGUGACUUGUAGGAGUCCAUAUUACUCACUCGGACAGGACGAUACUUGAAGAGGCCGAUUGUGAAAGGACAUAUGUUCAUCAACCUUCCCAUCUGA